This is a long non-coding RNA of Olea europaea var. sylvestris, 1190 nucleotides long. RefSeq lists it as uncharacterized. Lineage: Eukaryota; Viridiplantae; Streptophyta; Magnoliopsida; Lamiales; Oleaceae. The transcript is spliced from 2 exons. The record is from RefSeq and is a predicted model, not a curated record.
UUCUACAGUGUUCUCAUUGAGAUCUCUGACCAUUAGAUAAAAUAAUAAAUAGCUUAGUUAAAUGAGUCAUCUUGUUAUUUGUGCAAAUUCAGCCUGUUAUCCCAUUAAGAAAUUUGAAAACAAUGGAAUUUUGGCGAGGAAGACUUUAUCGCUUGCUGAUUCCUCAAAAAGUGCAACCAAAGAUGAGAUCAUUGGGGUGGAUCUUGAUGCUGAUUUGAUGGAGAUCAAGAAACGGAACUUGAUCCAAUCUCUAUAGUUGGAAUGGAAGGACUCGGUAAGACACUUUAUGUUAGAAAAAUUUACGAUCAUGGAUGGUAUAUGAAAUACUACGUGACGUGACGAUACUGAACAAUCAUUUAAAAAUGAUGUGGAAGUAGAAUUUUGCUAACUAGUAAAUAGGAAAAUAUUCUUAAAGGGAAGGAGACGUCUUAUUAUAAUGGAUGAUGUGUGGGAUAUGGAGGUCUCUUAUCGUACGAAUGAUAUAUGAUAAGAAUUUGUUAGCUAAGAGCCUAAGAAACGUGGAAUCGUACGAAUGAUAUAUGAUAAGAAUCUUGUUGACUAAGAGCCUGGGAUAAGUGGAAGGAGGUAUCUUGUUGUGAUGGAUGAUGUUUUGAAUAUUCGAUCUAGAGCAAUAUGAAAUAUUGAUACAAGUAAGAUUGAGUAAAAUUUUGUUAACUAGUAGACUAAAAGCAUCACUAAACGAAAGGAGAUAUCCCAUUGUAAUGGAUGAUGUAUGGGACAAUAUGAAAUAGAUAUAAAUAAUAUGGAAGUAGAAUCUUGUUAACUAGUAGUCUAGAGAACCUCGCUAUUUAUGCUAGCUGCUGUUGUUAUCUUCAUCAUGUGAACUUUCUAAAUAAGCAUGAAAGAUGGAAUUUAUCUUGUGAAGAAGUGUUUGAAAAACUUGAUGUCCUUCUGAGAUGGAGAAAUUCAUGAAAUAGAUUGUCAAACAUCGUAAAGAACCCAUAUCAAAGGCCUGCAAACCACAACAUUAUGUUGCAGGUUCCCUUGGAAAUAUAUGACGAUUUUUGGUUCGAUGCCCGAUCUUGAAGGUGUCAAAUUCUUGUAUCAAUUUAAUUGUAUGAUUGUAGGGAUUCGCUUGUAGCUUCGGCUCAACAAAUACUGAAGGAACAAGCUUUCAUAACUUGUUCUGUAGUUCUGCACUCCAAUGUAGUUCUAUUACAAUUUAGCUU